This 497-nucleotide ribosomal RNA is filed under the name uncultured bacterium. RNAcentral's name for it is "partial 16S ribosomal RNA". It matches the Rfam family "Bacterial small subunit ribosomal RNA", at positions 28 to 507 of the family's 1533-position model. The record is from RNAcentral.
GAUGAACGCUGGCGGCGUGCCUAAUACAUGCAAGUCGAGCGAACAGACGAGGAGCUUGCUCCUCUGACGUUAGCGGCGGACGGGUGAGUAACACGUGGAUAACCUACCUAUAAGACUGGGAUAACUUCGGGAAACCGGAGCUAAUACCGGAUAAUAUAUUGAACCGCAUGGUUCAAUAGAGAAAGACGGUUUUGCUGUCACUUAUAGAUGGAUCCGCGCCGCAUUAGCUAGUUGGUAAGGUAAAGGCUUACCAAGGCAACGAUGCGUAGCCGACCUGAGGGGGUGAUCGGCCACACUGGAACUGAGACACGGUCCAGACUCCUACGGGAGGCAGCAGUAGGGAAUCUUCCGCAAUGGGCGAAAACCUGACGGAGCAACGCCGCGUGAGUGAUGAAGGUCUUCGGAUCGUAAAACUCUGUUAUUAGGGAAGAACAAAUGUGUAAGUAACUAUGCACGUCUUGACGGUACCUAAUCAGAAAGCCACGGCUAACUACGUG